RNAcentral lists this ribosomal RNA (504 nucleotides) under Escherichia coli. RNAcentral describes it as "bacterial SSU rRNA". It matches the Rfam family "Bacterial small subunit ribosomal RNA", at positions 1022 to 1526 of the family's 1533-position model. The record is from RNAcentral. Lineage: Bacteria; Pseudomonadati; Pseudomonadota; Gammaproteobacteria; Enterobacterales; Enterobacteriaceae. RNAcentral also lists the same sequence under 1 other name.
GGGAACCGUGAGACAGGUGCUGCAUGGCUGUCGUCAGCUCGUGUUGUGAAAUGUUGGGUUAAGUCCCGCAACGAGCGCAACCCUUAUCCUUUGUUGCCAGCGGUCCGGCCGGGAACUCAAAGGAGACUGCCAGUGAUAAACUGGAGGAAGGUGGGGAUGACGUCAAGUCAUCAUGGCCCUUACGACCAGGGCUACACACGUGCUACAAUGGCGCAUACAAAGAGAAGCGACCUCGCGAGAGCAAGCGGACCUCAUAAAGUGCGUCGUAGUCCGGAUUGGAGUCUGCAACUCGACUCCAUGAAGUCGGAAUCGCUAGUAAUCGUGGAUCAGAAUGCCACGGUGAAUACGUUCCCGGGCCUUGUACACACCGCCCGUCACACCAUGGGAGUGGGUUGCAAAAGAAGUAGGUAGCUUAACCUUCGGGAGGGCGCUUACCACUUUGUGAUUCAUGACUGGGGUGAAGUCGUAACAAGGUAACCGUAGGGGAACCUGCGGUUGGAUCAC